This 379-nucleotide ribosomal RNA is filed under the name Ramalina subdecumbens. RNAcentral describes it as "SSU rRNA". Lineage: Eukaryota; Fungi; Ascomycota; Lecanoromycetes; Lecanorales; Ramalinaceae. The record is from RNAcentral.
AAUAGCCUGACGGCUGAACCAGCAACUUGGAGGAAUGUAUAGCAAUAGCUGAUUGCACCAACAAAUAGUUGAUGCAAUAUCGACUUUGUCGAAUAAAAUUCUAGGUAGAAUUAUGAUAAUGACAUUGUCUGCCUAUGUGUCUUGACCAAAUUACGUGCCAGCAGUCGCGGUAAUACGUAGAAGACUAGUGUUAUUCAUCUUUAAUAGGUUUAAAGGGUACCUAGACGGUAAAUCAAGCCUAGACAGGGACUAAUUUACUAGAGUUACUUACGAGGGAGUAUUAAAGUACUGCUGGUGUAGAGAUGAAAUUUUGUGAUACCUCUUUUCGAAAGAAAAACUAUGGCACAGGUAUAGGCGAAAGCAUCCCCUUAUGUGAUAA